AUUGAACGCUGGCGGCAGGCCUAACACAUGCAAGUCGAACGGUAGCACAGAGAGCUUGCUCUCGGGUGACGAGUGGCGGACGGGUGAGUAACGUCUGGGAAACUGCCCGAUGGAGGGGGAUAACUACUGGAAACGGUAGCUAAUACCGCAUAACGUCGCAAGACCAAAGUGGGGGACCUUCGGGCCUCACACCAUCGGAUGUGCCCAGAUGGGAUUAGCUAGUAGGUGGGGUAAUGGCUCACCUAGGCGACGAUCCCUAGCUGGUCUGAGAGGAUGACCAGCCACACUGGAACUGAGACACGGUCCAGACUCCUACGGGAGUGAGCAGUGGGGAAUAUUGCACAAGGGGCUCAAGCCUGAUGCAGCCAUGCCGCGUGUAUGAAGAAGGCCUUCGGGUUGUAAAGUACUUUCAGCGGGGAGGAAGGCGGUGAAGUUAAUAACUUCACCGAUUGACGUUACCCGCAGAAGAAGCACCGGCUAACUCCGUGCCAGCCGCCGCCGUAA
RNAcentral lists this ribosomal RNA (504 nucleotides) under uncultured bacterium. Its description in RNAcentral is "partial 16S ribosomal RNA". It matches the Rfam family "Bacterial small subunit ribosomal RNA", at positions 30 to 523 of the family's 1533-position model. The record is from RNAcentral.